Long non-coding RNA from Malurus melanocephalus (red-backed fairy wren), 3198 nucleotides. RefSeq lists it as uncharacterized. The transcript is spliced from 3 exons. NCBI's taxonomy places the organism in Eukaryota, Metazoa, Chordata, Aves, Passeriformes, Maluridae. The record is from RefSeq and is a predicted model, not a curated record.
UUAAUUGUAGCUCAUKCUGAAAAGACCCCUAAAAGACCAUUAGAGAAGAAGCCACUGGGGAUACCUGAUUUGGGAGUAAAAGUGACACAAGAAAAAGAGGAGGAGGACGGAAACUCUACAAGUCCAGAGGAAAAAUAUGAAGCAUUUGAAUGUUAGUGUUAAAGAAUUUUGAGACUUUAAUUAAACCACCCCAAAAUUCACAAGUUCAACAAAACCAAAAAAAAAAAAGAGAAAAAGCACAAUUGCUCUCCAGGGGUUUUCAGAGUUUUACUUCUACACAUAUUUUUCUAAUUCCAUGUAGAGGAACAAAGAAUGUGUUUUUCCCACCUGAAAGUGUUGUUUGGUGAUUCAUGAAGCUUUCUCCCUUGUCUGAAGCAGAGGUUUCUCGGUUACGUACCCCGGGGCUGUGCUGCUGCGGAGCGGAAGAGAACUGCCUGGGAGGGGGAUUGCCAGUGGGGAGGGUGUGAGGCCAGGGGAGCAUUUCAGAUCAGCAGGAUAUUGCUUGGUGUCGUGUGUGUAUGCAUUCAUAUAUAAGGAGCAAAUGAAUUGUUGCUCUCAAUGGCACGGAAAAGUAAAUAAAAAGCCUCUCUCAGCAGGACUGUGAAUUCUGGCUGUGGGUUUAGAUUUGUGUUUCAAGGCUCCUUUCACUAUCGGGUUUUAUGUUUUCAGGCCCUCUCUGCAGCUCCAGUGUUAUCUCAAAAGCACCAUCUUUUUGUCUACACAAAUAGCAGCACUCAAAAUGCAAAUCUACUUAUCCAGCAGUUCCAGUAUCUAAUUCACAGCUUUUUGCCUUAUAAGUGUUGGCUCCCCCCAGCAUGAUAAAAUACAGAUUCCACUCUAUGGAAAUGGGUGGCACAGCCAGUGCCUAUGUAAAUCAAGAUCAAGAUGUGCUUAAACCCUGUGAGAUUAUUCUUAUUUAAGAUUAUUAUUAUUCUAAUUCAGUAGCUGCUUCUUCUUUAGUAGUAAACAUUGUCAAAAAGAAGCCAUGACUUAGUCUUGUACCCUAUUGAGCCAGGUCCUGUAAAAGUCAACUCAUCCCUGAAAAAAUUCAUCUCCUGGGUGGCAAGGAUGUAUUGGGAGAUGCAAAGAGGGAAGGAGAAAAGUUGCAGACAAAGGUAUUGUGUCUAUAACUUCACAUUUUCCCUUGGUCUAAUGGRCAUAACCUGUAAUUCCAACCUGUAAUUAACUGAGGAAUGAAGUUUGCAUUUUAAUUCAGUUCAAAGAAAAUAAUUAAAUCAUUAAUGAUAAUGUUUCUUUGGAACUGGAACAUCCMCUGCUGUGUUGCUUUUGCUGGUAAUUUGAAAAGUAUCUGGUCUGGCAAUUCCAAUAAAUAGAGAAAAAUACUGUCUUCACAUACAAUCAGACUGUAAUUUUUGAAAAGACAUGAUCUAAUUCUUAAUGUUUCACAUUCUUUUAUUCAGACUAUGGAGUUAAUACUAUAUUCUCCAGGCAGACCUCUCAAAAGCCRUUUGAUAAAAAGUUGGUGGCAAGAGACGGACAACAGUAUCAGUAUUAUGCGUUGCUCCUGCAAGGAUCUCAUGAGACGUUUCUGCCAUUUCCUUAAAGCUUCCAGUGGAAUAACCCUUGGUAGCCAUCCACCUUGCCUACCACAGCCCAGCAGCCCAUCAUUUCCUACAGCCAAUAAUUCAUCUCAGCUGCACUGCCCAGUCCUUGGAGGUGACUGCUGGAGACCACAGUCCCACUACAGAAAUGCAGGGAGACCAGCUGUGUUUUCAGAGAUCAGCUGUUCGCCAAACUGCUUGAUCUAGCAGGCCUCCAUCCUUCUGCAAAACAGCUUUAUAAAUAAAUGUUCACAGGUGACCAAGGUUUAAGUUUUGUUCCAAAAACGCACGUCUUAAAUCAGGAUUUCGUAAGCUCUCCUAGAGCAAUGCUUGAAUGGGAUUCAAGAGGGGGAAGUCCAGCCUGUACAGAGGACAAGGASCCAAGGAAAAAAGAAACAUUUGAUUGAGAAAGAGGCACUGAAUGACACAAAAAGUGUUCUUCGUUCUUUACUUGACUAUGAAGAAUUCUUAAGCCCUACUUCAUUGUUUUUUUGGGUUUUUUUUUAAUUAGAGACAGUUUUCAAGAAGUUUAGGACUGGAUAGGUCRGUAGGUAUAGAAAUGGAAAUGGCAAGUAAUAGAGAACAUCAUUGCCAGAGCAAACCUGGAUAUAAAUAUACCUCUCUCAAGCAUCUCUCAGUUUCUUUUGCUGUUGGAAAAUAUUUCCUAUGAACAAAAAAAUUGCUUGUACAAACUUCUGAGGGAAGUAGGUGUGAAUGGUGACACACAUUCCAAUUCCAGCGUUUAUUUGAAGGAGUAUUUGCAAAUACUUUUUGCUGGUGUUUAGCCAGCUCUAAAAGAAAGCAUCUUGCCCAUGAUAUAUAAAAGCAGUAGCAARGCUAAAAAAUUAAAUCCAGGAGAAGCUGCCCAUUCCCUAACUUUGCUAAAGAUUUUUCCUGAAUCACACAUAUUUUCUUACUCUGUUGUUCAGGUUUUUGUUUUAUUUCAAACAGUUUAUGUCAAAGAAACUCAAAACUGGGUUACAAUAAAACCAUCACUGGUAAUUUGCAAAGCUCUUGCUAACAAUUGCACUCAAAGCAUGUUAGUACAAUGAGUCUGAAAAUUCCUCAUUUCAAAGCACAGGCCCCCUUUUUCUUGCCACAAAUCCUUUUCUGCUGUACCAAACCUCUGACAGCAUAUUCCAUUUUGCACUACCACAGCAWCCAAGCAGCUCCCAUGGGUCUGAACAGCCCUUAGCAAGAGAAAUAAGUAUUACCAUCUUUUUUUUUUGGCUGGGGAUAACCAUGUUGAGCAAGACAAAGRCCUUUCCUUCUGCUCUCCUUGACAUCUACCCAGUCAAACUAACUUGAUGUGCCUCAAAGUAAAAGUGGGGUUCACUUCACAUGCCAUGAAACUGUCACCCAAAUAAUGUACCUCUGUAUCUUUACUUGUCCAAGCUCCAUUCAGAACCAACAGAUAUGUCCUCCAGAAAUGGUUUCAGCCAUUCUAUUUAACACUGCAGUCCAAUGUCCCUGAGUGCUGCUGCAAAGACAAAUCUCUAAGUCCUGUUCCGUGUCCCCUUCCUCACACUUUUCUCCUUUGGACAGCAUUAUCAUCCAUGUGGAUAUACUGAGAGCUGGAUGAAGGGAGGACCGUAUCUCUCCUUUUGAUAUUCAGYAUAUCUAUGAUUUAUAUCUA